CUUUCUUCCUCAGCUUCCGACACCGGGUGGGACAGAGGAUCACAGCUCGCUCCUGACUUUUGGCUGACUUUGGACAAAUUGCCCUCUCUGGGCACCAGUUUCACUUUUCAGAUGGGACAGCGCCUGCCUAAGGGGACCCUGCUCUGAACUCACGCUGUCUGUCCAAAAGGACUGCUCAGAGGGGCGGUUUUCUCCAGAGCCACCUGCUUGCUGUGCUUCGCUCCUGGACAUGGAUUUGCUUGUCUUCUGAUCAGAGUUGUUAAAGGCAGCUUCACAGAACUUUCUGCAACUCUAGAUAUAAGGUGAAUUCUCUAAGCAUGUGAAUUCUUUCUGUCCAAGCUGGUUCCAAAAUGGUCUAGCAGGUGGCUUCGCCUGAUAAACUGGGGAAGGAAAAACAGUAUCCAGCUCCAGGGCUCUCUCACCGGGACUGAGAUGAAUAAUUUGAUCAGGAUACCUCAGAAGAAUAACCAUGGGAGUGUCUUCUGAUGGAAGCACGUCUGACAAUGGAAAUGGCGGGCUCUGGAGGACAGGAACACCAGGCAGAGGUCACCUUCUUGAAUGCUGUACUUUCCUCGCAGCUGCCUCCGGGGCAUGGUGUGAUGCGUAAGUCAACUUUACAUUUCCACUGCACCAGAUUUUCGUUAGGGCCAUGCAGUACAUGGCCAUCCCUAC
This 672-nucleotide long non-coding RNA is filed under the name Marmota monax (woodchuck). The record is from RNAcentral. Lineage: Eukaryota; Metazoa; Chordata; Mammalia; Rodentia; Sciuridae.